RNAcentral lists this unclassified non-coding RNA (3021 nucleotides) under Hevea brasiliensis (rubber tree). The record is from RNAcentral. Lineage: Eukaryota; Viridiplantae; Streptophyta; Magnoliopsida; Malpighiales; Euphorbiaceae.
AUUGAAUUCUUUUCUUGCAAAUGAGUUUUUCCAAAGGAAGCCAAUAAGUGAAACCUGUGGAUUCUUUUUGCAUGGGAAAAUCAAGAUAGCCAACUGAGGACUUGGCCUAUUGGUAGCAUGUCAUUUGCAAUUUUGCAUCACAGUGCUUAGAUUCUUGAAACAUUUAGAGUUUUGUUAGUCUCUGCAAUUGAGCAACUAAGCAUAUAAUAGAUUUAACUGUCUUUAUGCUUAAUGUUCAUCCGUGUUAUUGAGCAGUCAUGUCAUUUUGAAUGAGAGAAAUAUUAACUAUUUAUUCUUUAUGUAAGCAUAGACGAAUUCUGGGCUAGAUGGAACAUGAAGCUUUUCUGGAAUUUUGGGUGAAAACAGAGUCCUGAGGGUUUCAUCUACAUUCAUGUGUGCUAUUUUGUACAUAUAGGUUUACCCCUUCAAAUGUCGACCUAUUGGUUAUUGAUCACCUUAGAAAAUUUCCCUUUUUCCUUCAAACAAUUAGUUUAUGAUGUCAGACAGGAAAUUCCAAACUCUAUAACUUUACUGAUUGUUGUUCAAUUACUGAUCCAAAUCUAUACCUCUGUAUCAGCAGUGCUUAAGUGACUGAAUCAUGUUUGGGUAUGGUGGAAGGAGUGAUAACACCAAGUAUUAUGAGAUUCUUGGUGUCUCAAAGAAUGCUAGUCAAGAUGAAAUGAAGAAGGCUUAUAAAAAAGCUGCCAUAAAGAAUCAUCCUGACAAAGGUGGAGAUCCUGAGAAGUUCAAGGAGCUGGCUCAUGCUUAUGAAGUUCUUAGUGAUCCAGAGAAGAGAGAUAUUUAUGACCAAUAUGGUGAAGAUGCACUUAAAGAGGGAAUGGGAGGAGGAGGUGGGAGUGGUGUUCAUAACCCAUUUGAUAUAUUUGAAUCACUUUUUGGCAGAUCUUUUGGUGGGGGAGGCAGCUCAAGAGGAAGAAGGCAGAAGCGAGGUGAUGAUGUAGUACAAACUCUGAAGGUUACCUUAGAGGACUUAUAUAAUGGAACAACCAAGAAACUCUCUCUUUCUAGAAAUUUUAUGUGUACUAAAUGUAAAGGGAAGGGCUCAAAGAGUGGAGCUUCUGGGAUGUGUUAUGGAUGCCAAGGUUCAGGAAUGAAAAUUACAACACGACAGAUUGGCCUGGGCAUGAUUCAGCAGAUGCAACAUAUCUGUCCGGAAUGCAGAGGCUCAGGUAGGUAAAUGGAACCAACUUAUUUCACCUUAUUCAUUUUGGCUGUAUUUUCUGGAUUGUACCUAUUGUUGGUGCAGGUGAGGUCAUCAGUGAGAAGGAUAAAUGCCCACAGUGCAGGGGAAAAAAAGUAUCUCAAGAAAAGAAAGUGCUGGAGGUACAUGUUGAGAAAGGGAUGCAUCAUGGCCAGAAAAUAGUUUUUGAGGGUCAAGCUGAUGAAGCGGUAAGCUAAAUGAUAUCUAAAUUGGGUUUAGCUUGUGCUUUUCUUUAUUAGCUUGGUUUAAUUUGUCUUAAUAGUAUUUUUUUUCCAACUGAAAUUCAGUAUGAAAAGUGUGAAAUAUGGAACAGAAAUGGCAUACUAGUUUUUGGAUUAGUUUUGUGGACAUAUUGUGAUGUGAUGAUGAAAAAUGAGUGGCAAAAGCAAAAUAAGACAGAAAAGUUAUCAUUCUAAGUGGACCAGCCCUUGACGUUCAUGUUAGCUGAGGGUAUUUGCUUACAAAAAGGUUGCUUUUUUAUCUGUACUAAGUUAGAAGUUGUCAACACUUUACAGUAAUCUUGGUACACAUCUGAACAGGUUAGUUGUCGCUUUAACUAUUUACACAAAAAUCCACUUCUACAAUAUAAUGAUGAUGUUUAUAUUUUGAAAGGGCUCCAAUCUAAACAUUGUUUUAAGCAAUGACUUGAAGAUCCUUAUAUCUUUCUUAAUUUAAUUUGCAGCCUGAUACGGUUACUGGAGAUAUUGUUUUUGUAUUGCAACUGAGGGAUCACCCCAAGUUUGAGCGGAAGGUUGAUGAUCUCAUUGUGGAGCGCACCCUCAAUUUAACAGAGGCGCUCUGUGGAUUUCAGUUUGUCCUGACUCACCUUGAUGGCAGGCAACUUCUGAUCAAAUCAAAUCCUGGCGAGGUCAUAAAGCCUGGUCAAUACAAAGCAAUCAAUGAUGAGGGAAUGCCACAGCAUGGUCGGCCCUUCAUGAAAGGCAAGCUUUAUAUCCAUUUUAAUGUGGAUUUCCCCGACUCUAGGAUUCUUUCCCCUGAGCAGUGCCAUACUAUAGAGACCAUACUUCCCUUGAGGUCAAGAAAGCACUUGUCUGACAUGGAGCUUGAUGAGUGUGAAGAGACUAUUUUGCAUGAUGUCAAUAUGGCGGAGGAGGAGAAGAGGCGAAAACAGCAGCAGAGAUAUGAGGCAUAUGAAUAUGAUGAAGAUGAUGAGCCAUCAAUGUCAGGUGUACAAUGCGCUCAGCAGUAAGUGAAAGACUGCCUUGUUUUCAAUGGUAGCUACAUCAGCUUAUUACUAUCCUCACAGAUCGGCGUUUUGGAUUCUGCCUAGUUUUAUUCUUUUACAUAUAUAAUUUCACCUAUAGUUACCUGCAUAUGGUUUGUGCGCUAUUUGUCACCAUUUGUUACGAGUAUGAUGGUAUAUUUCAGGUUCUAUAUGUUUUAUUGCAUGUGCUUUUGAGUUAUCUCAAAUGAUUUGCUAUUUUGCUCUUGUCGAUAUUUAUUUGCCAUUAAUCUGUUUUCGCUCCGAUGUGUUGCGAAGGCUUGAAUUCGUGUGCAUAGCCUAAUGUUCAAGGGCUUGCGAGAUGCUUUUAACCUUUACUGCAUUGGUGCAGGGAUGCCAUUAGCAGAAUUUCAUUCUGUAAACAUGAUUUGCUUGGUAACAUCAGUAGUAAAAAUCUAAAGUACUCCACAUUGUCAAGAGUUCUAUAUAUAUGUUCGCAUGGCGGAUCGUUCACCAGCAAAAACUCUGAUUGGAGAUCAAUGUCAUUGAAAAAGAAUUUGACAAUAAGAAAUCAAAGUAACAAUAUUUUUUGUGGGAAAGCCUACCUGAUAUAAAC